GGGGUAGGAGGACUAGGGCGACGGCGGGCGGAGGGGGAGCUCCGGCGAUGACGGCGACGUGCUGCGGUGUCCCAUAAACAAAACGAGUCGCGUCAAAAUGCGCGCACGGGCAAGGGGAAAGAGGAGCGAAGAACGGCUCCGGAUUCCGGAGGUUGUGGCAGCUGGAAUCUAGCGCGGACUUGACGGCGGGGCGGGCACUUGCCACGCCGGUUUGUUUCCCUUUUUUUUUUCCUUUAACCUUUUCUCUUUUUCUUUUUCUGAUUUCUUUGAUAUCUUUUGAUUUUGAACUCCAAAUUGGUCCAAAUAAAUUCCAGAAAAUUUGUAAAAUCAUGUUUUAUCAUGAUUCAACUUUUGGGAGCAAUUUUCCCUCAAAAGAAAAUAUAUAAAAAUACAUUUUCCCUAUAAAUGCCUUUAGGGCUAUAUAACUAUUUAAAUAAAAUAGUUUUUCAACUCCAAAUAAUUAUCCAAAAAUUAUGGGAUAGCUCAUUUAUGCAAUAAACCCUUUUUAUAAACAAACCCUAUUGGUUUGAAGAUCCAAAGCUCAAAUGGGUGAAAACCCUAUGGUUUAAAUUUGAAUUCAAAUAUGCAAUUAUGGCAUGAUGCUCAUGAAUGCAAUGCACAUGAAAGAAUUUGAAAUUUUGGG
RNAcentral lists this long non-coding RNA (643 nucleotides) under Brachypodium distachyon (stiff brome). Its description in RNAcentral is "long non-coding RNA (BDIS_LNC003001)". The record is from RNAcentral. Lineage: Eukaryota; Viridiplantae; Streptophyta; Magnoliopsida; Poales; Poaceae.